UAGAGUUUGAUCCUGGCUCAGAACGAACGCUGGCGGCAGGCUUAACACAUGCAAGUCGAACGGUCUCUUCGGAGGCAGUGGCAGACGGGUGAGUAAUGCAUGGGAAUCUACCGUUCUCUACGGAAUAACUCAGGGAAACUUGUGCUAAUACCGUAUACGCCCUUUUGGGGAAAGAUUUAUCGGAGAAUGAUGAGCCCAUGUUGGAUUAGCUAGUUGGUAGGGUAAAGGCCUACCAAGGCGACGAUCCAUAGCUGGUCUGAGAGGAUGAUCAGCCACACUGGGACUGAGACACGGCCCAGACUCCUACGGGAGGCAGCAGUGGGGAAUAUUGGACAAUGGGCGCAAGCCUGAUCCAGCCAUGCCGCGUGAGUGAUGAAGGCCCUAGGGUUGUAAAGCUCUUUCACCGGUGAAGAUAAUGACGGUAACCGGAGAAGAAGCCCCGGCUAACUUCGUGCCAGCAGCCGCGGUAAU
This 471-nucleotide ribosomal RNA is filed under the name uncultured bacterium. RNAcentral describes it as "bacterial SSU rRNA". It matches the Rfam family "Bacterial small subunit ribosomal RNA", at positions 1 to 524 of the family's 1533-position model. The record is from RNAcentral.